This 393-nucleotide ribosomal RNA is filed under the name uncultured bacterium. RNAcentral describes it as "bacterial SSU rRNA". It matches the Rfam family "Bacterial small subunit ribosomal RNA", at positions 505 to 898 of the family's 1533-position model. The record is from RNAcentral.
GUGUCAGCAGCCGCGGUAAUACGUAGGUGGCAAGCGUUGUCCGGAAUUAUUGGGCGUAAAGGAUGCGUAGGCGGCUCUUUAAGUGGGAUGUGAAAUCCCCAGGCUUAACCUGGGAGUGGCAUUCCAAACUGGAGAGCUAGAGUGCAGGAGAGGAAAGUGGAAUUCCCAGUGUAGCGGUGAAAUGCGUAGAGAUUGGGAGGAACACCAGUGGCGAAGGCGACUUUCUGGACUGUAACUGACGCUGAGGCAUGAAAGCGUGGGGAGCAAACAGGAUUAGAUACCCUGGUAGUCCACGCUGUAAACGAUGAGUACUAGGUGUAGGGGCUUACCUGCCUCUGUGCCGCAGUUAACACAUUAAGUACUCCGCCUGGGAAGUACGAUCGCAAGAUUAAA